ACGACUCUCGGCAAUGGAUAUCUCGGCUCUCGCAUCGAUGAAGAACGUAGCGAAAUGCGAUACUUGGUGUGAAUUGCAGAAUCCCGUGAAUCAUCGAGUUUUUGAACGCAAGUUGCGCCCAAAGCCAUUAGGCUGAGGGCACGUCUGCCUGGGCGUCAC
Molecule: ribosomal RNA, 159 nt
Filed under: Berberis tinctoria
Lineage: Eukaryota; Viridiplantae; Streptophyta; Magnoliopsida; Ranunculales; Berberidaceae
Description: 5.8S ribosomal RNA
Rfam family: 5.8S ribosomal RNA
About the family: 5.8S ribosomal RNA (5.8S rRNA) is a component of the large subunit of the eukaryotic ribosome. It is transcribed by RNA polymerase I as part of the 45S precursor that also contains 18S and 28S rRNA.
Source: RNAcentral